UACGUAGGGGGCAAGCGUUGUUCGGAAUUACUGGGCGUAAAGGGCGCGUAGGCGGCACGGCAAGUCAGGCGUGAAAGCCCGGGGCUCAACCCCGGAAUGUCUUUUGAAACUGCCGAGCUAGAGUGCGGAAGAGGCAACUGGAAUUCCCAGUGUAGCGGUGAAAUGCGCAGAUAUCAGGAGGAACACCAAUGGCGAAGGCAGCUCGCUGGGACGUGACUGACGCUGAGACGCGAAAGCGUGGGGAGCAAACAGG
RNAcentral lists this ribosomal RNA (253 nucleotides) under uncultured bacterium. RNAcentral describes it as "partial 16S ribosomal RNA". It matches the Rfam family "Bacterial small subunit ribosomal RNA", at positions 524 to 776 of the family's 1533-position model. The record is from RNAcentral.